RNAcentral lists this ribosomal RNA (253 nucleotides) under uncultured bacterium. RNAcentral's name for it is "partial 16S ribosomal RNA". It matches the Rfam family "Bacterial small subunit ribosomal RNA", at positions 524 to 776 of the family's 1533-position model. The record is from RNAcentral.
UACGGGGGGGGCAAGCGUUGUUCGGAAUUACUGGGCGUAAAGGGCGCGUAGGCGGCCUGCUAAGUCGAACGUGAAAUCCCCAGGCUCAACCUGGGAACUGCGUCCGAUACUGGAUGGCUUGAAUUCGGGAGAGGGAUGCAGAAUUCCAGGUGUAGCGGUGAAAUGCGUAGAUAUCUGGAGGAAUACCGGUGGCGAAGGCGGCAUCCUGGACCGACAUUGACGCUGAUGAGCGAAAGCCAGGGGAGCAAACGGG